AACGCGAAUGACUGUAAAAUGUGGGCACAAUAUUUAAUCUCUCGCCUUUUUAAAGCUUAAUAGUGGAUAAUAGGGGGGCAGUAUCAAGGGAUAAUUUGGGUCCCCACAGUACCAAAGCAUUUAGAAACCUCUGUUUAAUUUAAGGAAUGAGAUAAGUUACUGCUUUUCUAGACUUCCUAGCAUGGGCUGUUGUGCUGGAGAGAACGAGAGCUACGAAGAGACUACAGUGCCUCUGACUUUUUCAUAGGACAGUUGGCCGAGGAAGACAAACAUAAAGAUGAAGUGCUUAAUUCAAGGUCACACAAUGUCGGGGAUGGACCUCCAGAUUUCCUUACUGACCUGCAUUAUCUUGUGGAUACCUGAGUGAAUUCCACACCACCCAUUUUAUAGAUGAAACCACUGAGACAUGGAGCAAUUGACUGAGUAGUCACUGCCCCACCCCUGCCUGGAGCCUCACACAUGACUCGCCUCCUCUCAGUGACCACAGGUGAGACGUGGUCUUGUAACACAGUGGUUAAGAAUGUGACUUUGGAGCCAGCCUGCUAGGGGCUGAAUUCUGACUCAGCCAUUUACUAACUGUGUGACCUUAGGCUGGAGUGCAAUGGCAUGAUCUCGGCUCAUCACAACCUCUGCUUCCUGGGUUCAAGCGAUUCUCCUGCCUCAGCCUCCCGAGUACCUGGGACUACAGGCACUCGCCAC
Molecule: long non-coding RNA, 699 nt
Filed under: Homo sapiens (human)
Lineage: Eukaryota; Metazoa; Chordata; Mammalia; Primates; Hominidae
Description: non-protein coding PCBP1-AS1:125
Source: RNAcentral